This 465-nucleotide ribosomal RNA is filed under the name uncultured Pelotomaculum sp. Its description in RNAcentral is "bacterial SSU rRNA". It matches the Rfam family "Bacterial small subunit ribosomal RNA", at positions 916 to 1381 of the family's 1533-position model. The record is from RNAcentral. Lineage: Bacteria; Bacillati; Bacillota; Clostridia; Eubacteriales; Desulfotomaculaceae.
ACGGGGCCCGCACAAGCGGUGGAUCAUGUUGUUUAAUUCGAUGAUACGCGAAGAACCUUUACCAGGUCUUGACAUCCCCUGCAAAGCUAUAGAGAUAUAGUGGAGGUUAUCAGGGAGACAGGUGGUGCAUGGUUGUCGUCAGCUCGUGUCGUGAGAUGUUGGGUUAAGUCCCGCAACGAGCGCAACCCCUACGUUUAGUUGCUAACAGGUGAAGCUGAGCACUCUAGACGAACUGCCGUUGACAAAACGGAGGAAGGUGGGAUGACGUCAAAUCAUCAUGCCCCUUAUGUUCUGGGCUACACACGUGCUACAAUGGCCGGUACAGACGGAGGCGAAGCCGCGAGGCGGAGCAAAUCCGAAAAAGCCGGUCUCAGUUCGGAUUGCAGGCUGCAAUUCGCCUGCAUGAAGUCGGAAUCGCUAGUAAUCGCAGGUCAGCAUACUGCGGUGAAUACGUUCCCGGGCCUU